GUGCCCGUCUCACCCCUGUCAGUGCCUGUCUCACCGCUGCCAGUGCCUGUCUCACCACUGUCCGUGCCUGUCUCACCCCUGUCAGUGCCUGUCUCACCGCUGCCAGUGCCUGUCUCACCACUGUCAGUGCCUGUCUCAUCGCUGUCAGUGCCUGUCUCACCGCUGCCUGUCAGUACCUGUCUCACUGCUGCCAGUGCCCGUCUCACCGCUGUCAGUGCCUGUCUCAUCGCUGUGUCAGUGCCCGUCUCACCGCUGUCAGUGCCCGUCUCACCGCUGUCAGUGCCUGUCUCACUGCUGUCUGUUAGUGCCUGUCACCGCCGUCAGUGCCUGUCUCACCGCUGCCUGUCAGUACCUGUCUCACUGCUGCCAGUGCCCGUCUCACCGCUGUCAGUGCCUGUCUCAUCGCUGUGUCAGUGCCUGUCUCACCGCUGUCAGUGCCCGUCUCACCGCUGUCAGUGCCUGUCUCACUGCUGUCUGUUAGUGCCUGUCACCGCCGUCAGUGCCUGUCUCACCGCUGCCUGUCAGUACCUGUCUCACUGCUGCCAGUGCCCGUCUCACCGCUGUCAGUGCCUGUCUCAUCGCUGUGUCAGUGCCUGUCUCACCGCUGUCAGUGCCCGUCUCACCGCUGUCAGUGCCUGUCUCACUGCUGUCUGUCAGUGCCUGUCACCGCCGUCAGUGCCUGUCUCACCGCUGCCUGUCAGUACCUGUCUCACUGCUGCCAGUGCCCGUCUCACCGCUGUCAGUGCCUGUCUCAUCGCUGUGUCAGUGCCUGUCUCACCGCUGUCAGUGCCCGUCUCACCGCUGUCAGUGCCUGUCUCACUGCUGUCUGUCAGUGCCUGUCACCGCCGUCAGUGCCUGUCUCACCGCUGCCUGUCAGUACCUGUCUCACUGCUGCCAGUGCCCGUCUCACCGCUGUCAGUGCCUGUCUCAUCGCUGUGUCAGUGCCUGUCUCACCGCUGUCAGUGCCCGUCUCACCGCUGUCAGUGCCUGUCUCACUGCUGUCUGUCAGUGCCUGUCACCGCCGUCAGUGCCUGUCUCACCGCUGCCUGUCAGUACCUGUCUCACUGCUGCCAGUGCCCGUCUCACCGCUGUCAGUGCCUGUCUCAUCGCUGUCAGUGCCUGUCUCAUCGCUGUGUCAGUGCCUGUCUCAUCGCUGUGUCAGUGCCUGUCUCACCGUCGUCAGUGCUCCACAGGUUUUUGGAUGAAACUUGA
This 1212-nucleotide long non-coding RNA is filed under the name Nothobranchius furzeri (turquoise killifish). Its description in RNAcentral is "lncRNA (ENSNFUG00015006922.1)". The record is from RNAcentral. Lineage: Eukaryota; Metazoa; Chordata; Actinopteri; Cyprinodontiformes; Nothobranchiidae.